GGCCGUGUAGUGUCUUAACACGUUAGAUUGCAAAUCUGAAGAAGUAGGCUAAUCGCCUGCCAGGGCUU
This 68-nucleotide transfer RNA is filed under the name Plectorhinchus cinctus (crescent sweetlips). RNAcentral describes it as "tRNA-Cys". It matches the Rfam family "tRNA". Rfam says of the family: Transfer RNA (tRNA) molecules are approximately 80 nucleotides in length. Their secondary structure includes four short double-helical elements and three loops (D, anti-codon, and T loops). Lineage: Eukaryota; Metazoa; Chordata; Actinopteri; Lutjaniformes; Haemulidae. The record is from RNAcentral.